CCCGAGAUGAGUUCUCCCUGAGACUUUAGGUCUCCUGAAGGAACGUUGAAGACGACGACGUUGAUAGGCCGGGUGUGUAAGCGCAGCGAUGCGUUGAGCUAACCGGUACUAAUGAACCGUGAGGCUUAACCUU
This 133-nucleotide ribosomal RNA is filed under the name Salmonella enterica. RNAcentral's name for it is "partial 23S ribosomal RNA". It matches the Rfam family "Bacterial large subunit ribosomal RNA", at positions 2798 to 2925 of the family's 2925-position model. RNAcentral also lists the same sequence under 2 other names. The record is from RNAcentral. Lineage: Bacteria; Pseudomonadati; Pseudomonadota; Gammaproteobacteria; Enterobacterales; Enterobacteriaceae.